RNAcentral lists this ribosomal RNA (301 nucleotides) under uncultured bacterium. RNAcentral describes it as "partial 16S ribosomal RNA". It matches the Rfam family "Bacterial small subunit ribosomal RNA", at positions 509 to 807 of the family's 1533-position model. The record is from RNAcentral.
CAGCAGCCGCGGGAAUACGGAGGGAGCUAGCGUUGUCCGGAAUUACUGGGCGUAAAGAGCUCGUAGGCGGUUUGUCGCGUCGUCUGUGAAAUUCUGCAGCUUAACUGUAGGCGUGCAGGCGAUACGGGCAGACUUGAGUACUACAGGGGAGACUGGAAUUCCUGGUGUAGCGGUGAAAUGCGCAGAUAUCAGGAGGAACACCGGUGGCGAAGGCGGGUCUCUGGGUAGUAACUGACGCUGAGGAGCGAAAGCGUGGGUAGCGAACAGGAUUAGAAACCCCCGUAGUCCCUGUCUCUUAUAC